GAUGAAGAACGUAGCGAAAAGCGAUAAGUAAUGUGAAUUGCAGAAUUCAGUGAAUCAUCGAAUCUUUGAACGCACAUUGCGCCCAUUAGUAUUCUAGUGGGCAUGCCUGUUCGAGCGUCAUUUCAACCCUUAAGCCUAGCUUAGUGAUGGGAAUCUGCUGUAUUGCAGUUCCUCAAAUACAACGGCGGAUCUGUAACAUCCUCUGAGCGUAGUAAAUUUUUAUCUCGCUUUUGUUAGGUGUUGCAGCUCUCAGCCGCUAAACCCCCCAAUUUUUGUGGUUGACCUCGGAUCAGGUAGGAAUACCCGCUGAACUUAAGCAUAUCAAUAAGCGGAGGA
This 336-nucleotide unclassified non-coding RNA is filed under the name soil metagenome. RNAcentral describes it as "partial contains 5.8S ribosomal RNA, internal transcribed spacer 2, and large subunit ribosomal RNA". The stretch from base 1 to 120 matches the Rfam family "5.8S ribosomal RNA", at positions 35 to 154 of the family's 154-position model. The record is from RNAcentral.